CACGUAGGGGGCAAGCGUUGUCCGGAUUUAUUGGGCGUAAAGAGCGUGUAGGCGGCCAUGUAGGUCCGUUGUGAAAACUCGAGGCUCAACCUCGAGACGCCGAUGGAAACCAUGUGGCUAGAGUCCGGAAGAGGAGAGUGGAAUUCCUGGUGUAGCGGUGAAAUGCGCAGAUAUCAGGAAGAACACCCGUGGCUAAGGCGGCUCUCUAGUACGGUACUGACGCUGAGACGCGAAAGCGUGGGGAGCGAACAGG
Molecule: ribosomal RNA, 253 nt
Filed under: uncultured bacterium
Lineage: Bacteria
Description: partial 16S ribosomal RNA
Rfam family: Bacterial small subunit ribosomal RNA
Source: RNAcentral